RNAcentral lists this ribosomal RNA (234 nucleotides) under uncultured Staphylococcus sp. RNAcentral's name for it is "partial 16S ribosomal RNA". It matches the Rfam family "Bacterial small subunit ribosomal RNA", at positions 105 to 334 of the family's 1533-position model. Lineage: Bacteria; Bacillati; Bacillota; Bacilli; Caryophanales; Staphylococcaceae. The record is from RNAcentral.
GGUAGUAACACGUGGAUAACCUACCUAUAAGACUGGGAUAACUUCGGGAAACCGGAGCUAAUACCGGAUAAUAUAUUGAACCGCAUGGUUCAAUAGUGAAAGACGGUUUUGCUGUCACUUAUAGAUGGAUCCGCGCCGCAUUAGCUAGUUGGUAAGGUAACGGCUUACCAAGGCAACGAUGCGUAGCCGACCUGAGAGGGUGAUCGGCCACACUGGAACUGAGACACGGUCCAG